RNAcentral lists this ribosomal RNA (144 nucleotides) under Pleurotus ostreatus (oyster mushroom). RNAcentral describes it as "partial 5.8S ribosomal RNA". It matches the Rfam family "5.8S ribosomal RNA". From Rfam's summary of the family: 5.8S ribosomal RNA (5.8S rRNA) is a component of the large subunit of the eukaryotic ribosome. It is transcribed by RNA polymerase I as part of the 45S precursor that also contains 18S and 28S rRNA. Functionally, it is thought that 5.8S rRNA may be involved in ribosome translocation. The record is from RNAcentral. Lineage: Eukaryota; Fungi; Basidiomycota; Agaricomycetes; Agaricales; Pleurotaceae.
CAACUUUCAACAACGGAUCUCUUGGCUCUCGCAUCGAUGAAGAACGCAGCGAAAUGCGAUAAGUAAUGUGAAUUGCAGAAUUCAGUGAAUCAUCGAAUCUUUGAACGCACCUUGCGCCCCUUGGUAUUCCGAGGGGCAUGCCUG